UUUUGGAAGUAAAAGU
This 16-nucleotide ribosomal RNA is filed under the name Ochrocladosporium elatum. Its description in RNAcentral is "partial 18S ribosomal RNA". The record is from RNAcentral. Lineage: Eukaryota; Fungi; Ascomycota; Dothideomycetes; Pleosporales.